Molecule: long non-coding RNA, 1337 nt
Organism: Macrobrachium nipponense
Lineage: Eukaryota; Metazoa; Arthropoda; Malacostraca; Decapoda; Palaemonidae
Exons: 5
Source: RefSeq, a predicted model, not a curated record
ACAGCCACUUUUUAGGCCACGACUCUGACUCGGAUGUGACAGAAUGUCUGGCAACACUGCACACUGAGGCCGGAUGGAGGCAAAGCCAUUGUUAUUUCCAAGACUUCGUUUAGUACACACCACGCACUUAGUUAGUACGAGUUGGGCUCCUGAGUUACUUUCAACAGUCUCCCUUUUAGGAAGAAAAUAAUAUCAAGUUCCUGGACAAAAUGAAGUUGCUGAUGAGCACAGUUUUUCUUGUCCUCUUGCUCGUACAAGUAGGUAUUGCAAUAGAGUGCUACAGGUGUAAUGGCGACGACGUAUGCGAGAACAAAGUUCCGUGCGGCGGUUCAUGCGCCAAAACGCAUGACUUUAAUGAAGAUGAUGAUACCCGCCGCUUCUGUUCAGAUGUGAGGGAGCCAGAAGGUUCCUCGAAGCGUAUGCCAGGAGACAACGAGAACACCAAGACCUUCUUCUGCAACACUAACCUCUGCAACGGCGCCUCAGCAUUCGGGGCAAAUCGCUUUGCUAUGGUCGUCCCUGCCUUGACAGUGAUUGUGGUUGGAGCUGUGUUUGGGAAUUAAAAAGAGUUCUGGAGAAAGCAAAGGUUUAUACCAAAUUCGCUUUGGAUUCCUACCUUUUUUUUUCAAUUUUAAUUACUUAACCUUUUGUGUGUGUGUGUGUGUGUCCAGAGUUUGAUUCUUAUGCCCGUGUUCAUGGGUAUUGAAUUUUUAAAAAAUAGUUUUGUUGAUAACUGAGUAUAGCACAACAAUUUUGUUGUUGAUAACUGAGUAUAGCACAAAAAAUUGUUUUGUUGAUAACUGAGUAUAACGCUUUUUUUUGAUAACUGAGUAUAGCACAAAAAUUGUUUUUUUGAUAACUGAGUAUAGCACAAAUAUUGUUUUUUUGAUAACUGAGUAUAGCAAAAAAAUGUUUGUUUUUUUGAUAACUUGAGUAUAGCACAAAAAUUGUUUUUUGAUAACUGAGUAUAACACUUUUUUUUUAUAACUGAGUAUAGCACAAAAAUUGUUUUGUUGAUAACUGAGUAUAACACUUUUUUAUAACUGAGUAUAGCACAAAAAUUGUUUUGUUGAUAACUGAGUAUAACAUUUUUUUUUGAUAACUGAGUAUAGCACAAAAAUUGUUUUGUUGAUAACUGAGUAUAGCACAAUCAACACUUGUCUGUAAGUUCUUCUGAAAUACAAAUAAUAGUAACUGUAAUGUGUAGCAUAAUCAUUGUUAGACUAUAUCUGAUCUUUAUCACUAAUACACCCUGAAAGGUUUUCAAAGGGUACCAUAAUCCUUAUGGAGAAAUGUUAAUUUCUUGCAAAAAAAAGAAAAAAAACUUUUGAAAAAUA